RNAcentral lists this ribosomal RNA (429 nucleotides) under Bacteroidota bacterium. Its description in RNAcentral is "Bacteroidetes bacterium partial 16S ribosomal RNA". It matches the Rfam family "Bacterial small subunit ribosomal RNA", at positions 355 to 776 of the family's 1533-position model. The record is from RNAcentral. Lineage: Bacteria; Pseudomonadati; Bacteroidota.
UAGGGAAUCUUCGGCAAUGGGGGGAACCCUGACCGAGCAACGCCGCGUGAGUGAAGAAGGUUUUCGGAUCGUAAAGCUCUGUUGUUAAGGAAGAACGAGUGUGAGAAUGGAAAGCUCAUGCUGUGACGGUACUUAACCAGAAAGGGACGGCUAACUACGUGCCAGCAGCCGCGGUAAUACGUAGGUCCCGAGCGUUGUCCGGAUUUAUUGGGCGUAAAGCGAGCGCAGGCGGUUAGAAAAGUCUGAAGUGAAAGGCAGUGGCUCAACCAUUGUAGGCUUUGGAAACUGUUUAACUUGAGUGCAGAAGGGGAGAGUGGAAUUCCAUGUGUAGCGGUGAAAUGCGUAGAUAUAUGGAGGAACACCGGUGGCGAAAGCGGCUCUCUGGUCUGUAACUGACGCUGAGGCUCGAAAGCGUGGGGAGCGAACAGG